This 391-nucleotide ribosomal RNA is filed under the name uncultured bacterium. RNAcentral describes it as "bacterial SSU rRNA". It matches the Rfam family "Bacterial small subunit ribosomal RNA", at positions 28 to 427 of the family's 1533-position model. The record is from RNAcentral.
GAUGAGCGUUGGCGGCGUGGAUUAGGCAUGCAAGUCGCGCGACAAGGAACCUUCGGGUUCUGGAGGAGCGGCAAACGGGGUAGUAAGGCAUCGGAACGUACCCUCUUGUUGGGAAUAGCCGCGGGAAACUGCGAGUAAUGCCCAAUAAUCCCUACGGGGCAAAGGUCCGCCGCAGGAGGAGCGGCCGAUGUGAUACCAGCUAGUUGGUGAGGUAAUGGCUCACCAAGGCUUAGACGUCUAGGGGUGUGAGAGCAUGGCCCCCACCACUGGGACGUGAGAUACUGCCCACGACACCUACGGGUGGCUGCAGUCGAGAAUCUUCGGCGAAUGGGCGGCAAGCCUCGACCGACGCAACGACCGCCGUGCGGGAGUGAAGGCCCUUCGGGUUGGU